ACUCCUACGGGAGGCAGCAGUAGGGAAUCUUCCACAAUGGACGAAAGUCUGAUGGAGCAACGCCGCGUGAGUGAAGAAGGGUUUCGGCUCGUAAAAACUCUGUUGUUAAAAGAAAGAACAUAUCUGAGAGUAACUGUUCAGGUAUUGACGGUAUUUAACCAGAAAGCCACGGCUAACUACGUGCCAGCAGCCGCGGUAAUACGUAGGUGGCAAGCGUUGUCCGGAUUUAUUGGGGCGUAAAGCGAGCGCAGGCGGUUUUUAAGUCUGAUGUGAAAGCCUUCGGCUCAACCGAAGAAGUGCAUCGGAAACUGGGAAACUUGAGUGCAGAAGAGGACAGUGGAACUCCAUGUGUAGCGGUGAAAUGCGUAGAUAUAUGGAAGAACACCAGUGGCGAAGGCGGCUGUCUGGUCUGUAACUGACGCUGAGGCUCGAAAGUAUAGGGUAGCAAACAGGAUUAGAUACCCUGGUAGGAUAGCG
Molecule: ribosomal RNA, 477 nt
Filed under: uncultured bacterium
Lineage: Bacteria
Description: bacterial SSU rRNA
Rfam family: Bacterial small subunit ribosomal RNA
Source: RNAcentral